GGGGAAUAUUGCACAAUGGGGGAAACCCUGAUGCAGCGACGCCGCGUGAAGGAUGAAGUAUUUCGGUAUGUAAACUUCUAUCAGCAGGGAAGAAGAUGACGGUACCUGACUAAGAAGCCCCGGCUAACUACGUGCCAGCAGCCGCGGUAAUACGUAGGGGGCAAGCGUUAUCCGGAUUUACUGGGUGUAAAGGGAGCGUAGACGGCGAUGCAAGCCAGAUGUGAAAGCCCGGGGCUCAACCCCGGGACUGCAUUUGGAACUGCGUGGCUGGAGUGUCGGAGAGGCAGGCGGAAUUCCUAGUGUAGCGGUGAAAUGCGUAGAUAUUAGGAGGAACACCAGUGGCGAAGGCGGCCUGCUGGACGAUGACUGACGUUGAGGCUCGAAAGCGUGGGGAGCAAACA
This 401-nucleotide ribosomal RNA is filed under the name uncultured Lachnospiraceae bacterium. RNAcentral's name for it is "bacterial SSU rRNA". It matches the Rfam family "Bacterial small subunit ribosomal RNA", at positions 356 to 774 of the family's 1533-position model. The record is from RNAcentral. Lineage: Bacteria; Bacillati; Bacillota; Clostridia; Lachnospirales; Lachnospiraceae.